This 73-nucleotide transfer RNA is filed under the name Camelus bactrianus (Bactrian camel). It matches the Rfam family "tRNA". Rfam says of the family: Transfer RNA (tRNA) molecules are approximately 80 nucleotides in length. Their secondary structure includes four short double-helical elements and three loops (D, anti-codon, and T loops). Lineage: Eukaryota; Metazoa; Chordata; Mammalia; Artiodactyla; Camelidae. RNAcentral also lists the same sequence under 2 other names. The record is from Rfam by way of RNAcentral.
GGAGAUAUAGUUCAAUGGUAAAAGCUCAUGCUUAGUCUGCGUGAGGUCCUGGGUUCAAUCCCCAGUACCUCCA